Molecule: small RNA, 335 nt
Filed under: Vigna angularis var. angularis
Lineage: Eukaryota; Viridiplantae; Streptophyta; Magnoliopsida; Fabales; Fabaceae
Description: Non-protein coding transcript
Source: RNAcentral
CCUCACUGCUUCUUUAUAGUACCACAUCUCUCGUGUUCUUAAUUGGAAUGUCGGAUUCGUAACAGUACCCACAUAAAAUUACCAUUGGCCCAAUGCACAUAUAGUGUUGCUGAAUUUGAGCUGUAUCAGUCACAUAUAAAAGGGUGAAAAGCUGUAGAGUGCAGUCAUCUGCUAUAGCUGCAACAGCAAUAUGCAUGCAUGUUGAUCAUAUUACAAAGGGUUUUUGUGCAAAUGAGGUUGCGUAAGAAACUAGAGAGUACAACACAACAACAGGGACCCACAAUUCAAAAUUCUUACUUGGAGUCACAAAGCUUUUCCUCCUUCCACAUCAUCCU